This is a long non-coding RNA of Physeter macrocephalus (sperm whale), 1101 nucleotides long. RefSeq lists it as uncharacterized. The record is from RefSeq and is a predicted model, not a curated record. The transcript is spliced from 5 exons. NCBI's taxonomy places the organism in Eukaryota, Metazoa, Chordata, Mammalia, Artiodactyla, Physeteridae.
CAGAACCCGUCCACAGACUAAGCACAGUGUUGCUUACAGAAGACAGACUUCAGAGCAAGGUCUAUCAGUCAGGAAGGCAGCUGUUAUGCUGGGAGCCCGUCAAAAGCCAGAAUGUGGAGGUCUUUUGACGAGAGGGUGGCUGUUUCAUUUCCCAAAAAAGAAACUACGAUUCUUCAGCUUUGGAAUGCUUAGGUUAAUAGUAUUCUGUGUAAUAGACUGGGACGUUGAUUGCUUCAUUUACUGAUCUUUAAAGAAGCCAGGUGUUUGCGGCCUCAAGUUUCACCCCCCUUUUGCCAUUCUGAAGUCUCCAGUUCCUAAGCCCCAGAGGAGUCCUGCCGGGCACACCAUCUCUCCCUCCCUUUGAUCCAGAUUCCCCGAGGUAGGCACUUGCUGCUUCUUCCUCCUCCUUGCCUGGUCCGUCCAUCACUUUCCACGGGCUUUCUGCCUUACAGAAUUUGGUGGAAACCCCUCAUCUGCACAUGACCCCUCUCCAGUCUCUUUGACACUGCAGCAGCAGUAUUCACAAUAACCAAGACAUGGAAACAACCUCAAUGUCCAUUGACAGAUGAAUGGAUAAAGCUGAUGUGGUGCAUAUAUAAAAUGGAAUACUACUCGGCUGUAAAAAAAAAAAGAAUGAAAUAAUGCCAUUUGCAGCAACAUGGAUGCAACUAAAGAUUAUCAUCCUAAGUGAAGGAGUAGGCAGCCUGACCUCCAGAACCACAUCCUCCGUGUGUCCUUGCGUCCUGAGUCAGGUCCCCCUUCCUGGGAAGGAGAAGUCUGUCUCCGGAGAGCAGACACACAGAAGAUGCCUUUGGCGCCUACCACGUCUAUAGCCCCUGCUGGGGAGCUCAGGGGAGCAGAGAAAGGCGGCGAGCAGAGCCUCUGGGCAGUGGAAGCCCUGGAUAAAUAGAAGAAAGGAGGAAGAGCUGCUUACUCAGCCGUGCCUCGGAAAGCCUGGAUCUCCGGAGUGACAGAGCUGCAGCGUGGAGAGCCCAGGGCAGAUCCCACCACAGGGGCUGAUGACGGCAUCUCUAGAAGUGUGUUGCCUUUAGCUUCCCUGCCAGGACCGGAUGCAGUCUGGCUGUGCUGCCGCUGCGGGGG